UCACUUACCUGGACGGGGUCAAUGGGUGAUCAAGAAGGUCCAUGGCCUAGGUUGGUGACCUCUAUUGCACUUCGGAGGGGUGCCCGCCUAAGGUCGGCCCAAGUGGUCGAGCCUACGUCAUAAUUUGUGGCAGUGGGGGUUUGCGUUCGCGCAGCCCCUG
RNAcentral lists this small nuclear RNA (160 nucleotides) under Helianthus annuus (common sunflower). Its description in RNAcentral is "U1 spliceosomal RNA". It matches the Rfam family "U1 spliceosomal RNA". Rfam says of the family: U1 is a small nuclear RNA (snRNA) component of the spliceosome (involved in pre-mRNA splicing). Its 5' end forms complementary base pairs with the 5' splice junction, thus defining the 5' donor site of an intron. Lineage: Eukaryota; Viridiplantae; Streptophyta; Magnoliopsida; Asterales; Asteraceae. The record is from Rfam by way of RNAcentral.